This 76-nucleotide transfer RNA is filed under the name Coriobacteriales bacterium. RNAcentral's name for it is "tRNA-Thr". It matches the Rfam family "tRNA". From Rfam's summary of the family: Transfer RNA (tRNA) molecules are approximately 80 nucleotides in length. Their secondary structure includes four short double-helical elements and three loops (D, anti-codon, and T loops). Lineage: Bacteria; Bacillati; Actinomycetota; Coriobacteriia; Coriobacteriales. The record is from RNAcentral.
GCCGCUGUAGCUCAGUUGGUAGAGCAACUGAUUCGUAAUCAGUAGGUCAGGGGUUCAAAUCCCCUCGGCGGCUCCA